RNAcentral lists this ribosomal RNA (468 nucleotides) under uncultured bacterium. Its description in RNAcentral is "bacterial SSU rRNA". It matches the Rfam family "Bacterial small subunit ribosomal RNA", at positions 28 to 525 of the family's 1533-position model. The record is from RNAcentral.
GACGAACGCUGGCGGCGUGCUUCAUACAUGCAAGUCGAACGAGAAGUUACCUUCGGGUGAUGGAAAGUGGCGGACGGGUGAGUAAUAUGUAGGAAAUCUGCCCUUAAGAGGGGGACAACAGAGGGAAACUUCUGCUAAUACCCCAUAUGAGCGUAGCUGAAAUGCUAUUCUUGAAAAACUCCGGUGCUUAAGGAUGAGCCUGCAUCUGAUUAGCUAGUUGGGGGUGUAAUGGACCACCAAGGCGACGAUCAGUAGCUGGUUUGAGAGGAUGAUCAGCCACAAUGGGACUGAGACACGGCCCAUACUCCUACGGGAGGCAGCAGUCGGGAAUAUUGCGCAAAUGGAGGAAAACUCUGACGCAGUGACGCCGCGUAUAGGAAGAAGGUUUUCGGAUUGUAAACUAAUUGUCUGCAGGGAAGAAAACAAGACUGUACCUGCAAAAGAAAAGACUCCGGCUAAACUAACGUG